Molecule: ribosomal RNA, 463 nt
Filed under: uncultured bacterium
Lineage: Bacteria
Description: partial 16S ribosomal RNA
Rfam family: Bacterial small subunit ribosomal RNA
Source: RNAcentral
GAUGAACGCUGACAGAAUGCUUAACACAUGCAAGUCGAUGGGGAAGUGGUGCUUGCACCAUGGUAACCAUGGCGGACGGGUGAGUAACGCGUAAGGAACUUACCUGCGGGACCGGGAUAACAGCAGGAAACUGCUGACAAGACCGGAUAAGGUCAUUAAGCUGCAUAGCUUAGUGAUGAAAGGAGACGCCUGCGGAGAGCCUUGCGUCCUAUUAGCUAGUUGGAGGGGUAACGGCCCACCAAGGCGAAGAUAGGUAGCCAGCCUGAGAGGGUGGACGGCCACAAGGGGACUGAGAUACGGCCCUUACUCCUACGGGAGGCAGCAGUGGGGAAUAUUGGACAAUGGGGGCAACCCUGAUCCAGCAAUUCUGUGUGCACGAAGACGGUUUUCGGAUUGUAAAGUGCUUUCAGCAGGGAAGAAGGAAGUGACGGUACCUGCAGAAGAAGCGACGGCUAAAUACGUG